Juglans microcarpa x Juglans regia is the source of this 1187-nucleotide long non-coding RNA. RefSeq lists it as uncharacterized. The record is from RefSeq and is a predicted model, not a curated record. The transcript has 3 exons. NCBI's taxonomy places the organism in Eukaryota, Viridiplantae, Streptophyta, Magnoliopsida, Fagales, Juglandaceae.
UUCUUUUGAGUUCAAGCCAUGUUUUAAUUAUGCUUUUAUGUGUUAAAUUAAUGAAGUUAAGGUUUAUAAUUUUGAACAUUUCUUUCCUCAAGUUUAUGGCCUAAGUAAGCCACUAAGAGUUUUAAAUCUAAACUAGUAAGCUUACUCAGGAAUUUUAAGUUGCCAAGAGUUGUAUCUCUUUAUUUGUGCUGUGUUUUUAGAAAGUAUAUGAGGCUUUUCUUAAGUUUCCGACUACUCUUGUAUUAUUUAAUUGUAUGGUUGAGUUUUGGUUAAGUGAGAGAUGUUUAAGACCAUGAAUGUACUAAGACUUGCUAGCUGUCUAUGUACUACAGAAAUUCUGAAAAUGUUCUGUUUUGAAGCCUAAAUUAGCCCAUUUCAUCCCUUGCUCAACUACACCCCUUUUUGUUUAAUCAAAGAUAAACUUUAGUAUGAAAAACCCUUGAAGAACAAGUGACAAAAACCAACCUCUUGUAAGCAUUGUCUUUUGUUAGAGUUACUUCCCACAUGAUGUUACAAAACUGUCAAAAUGCCCUUUUUAUAAAGAUUUCAGAUUUGGUAGUACCUCCUUGUUCCCUACCAUACUUACAUAAAUCCCUACCAUCUUAUACAUUUGAACUUUUGAUUUCCUACAUAUCCCUUGUGUAGGAAAUAUUAGCCUUUAAAAAGGGACAGCAAGCAAGUUACAUGCUUUCAUGGGUUUCUUUAAAUAUCGGAAUGAGUAUACCAAUGGUUGAUUUAGUGUCAUGUAUGUAGCUAAAUGGGUUAAGGAAGACGCUUUAAUUCCAACUUGGAAAUUAAGUGAGCGCGUAUGGGUGUCGAAUAGUAAAGCCUUAAGUGAAAUGAAUUUUUAAUAUGUUUAUCCCAUUUCAUUGAAUAGGAGUUUAUUUUCAAGAUUCAAGGAACCUACUUGUAAAGCAACGAGGUAUGGAUGAAGAGGCUGUGGAGCUAGGCACUACUGAGGAGGGAAGGGCCAAUGCUUAGAGUUUUCUUGAUGGUUCGACUUUGAUGAUGAUGGUUUAUGUUUUUAUGUUUUUAUGAUGGGUCCCGUGUUGAGACGUUUUGUUGGCUUGACUUUAAAAUAGUAUGCCUUCAAGCAUGAUGUAAAUACUAUGAUGGGGUGAUGGUAAUGGCGUAACUUCUAUGGUGGGGUGAUGGUUACCCCACAUAAGAUGGUAUGGUUUUGUAGU